RNAcentral lists this ribosomal RNA (776 nucleotides) under uncultured Neocallimastigales. RNAcentral describes it as "partial large subunit ribosomal RNA". It matches the Rfam family "Eukaryotic large subunit ribosomal RNA", at positions 26 to 614 of the family's 3401-position model. Lineage: Eukaryota; Fungi; Neocallimastigomycota; Neocallimastigomycetes; Neocallimastigales. The record is from RNAcentral.
CGCAUCUGUGCAUGCAGCAUAUCAAUAAGCGGAGGAAAAGAAACUAACAAGGAUUCCCCUAGUAACGGCGAGUGAAGCGGGAAGAGCUCAAAUUUGAAAUCUUAAAGGGUUUCCCUUUACGAAUUGUAGUUUAAAGGAAGUGUUUUCUGUUGAGGUUUUGGUAAAAGUUCUUUGGAAUAGGACAUCAUAGAGGGUGAGAAUCCCGUAUUUGACCUUUACUUUCAACUUUGUGAUACACUUUCAAAGAGUCGGAUUGUUUGGGAAUGCAGUCCAAAAUGGGUGGUAAAUUUCAUCUAAAGCUAAAUAUUGGCGAGAGACCGAUAGCGAACAAGUACCGUGAGGGAAAGAUGAAAAGAACUUUGAAAAGAGAGUUAAACAGUACGUGAAAUUGUCAAAAGGGAAGCGUUUGACACCAGUGUUGUUUUUCUGAAAAUCAAUUAAAGAACUGUUUAUGCUAAGUUGUUUAGACUUUAUCAGCUAACUGUUUAGUUUUGAGCUUUUCUUUAAUGCACUUUUCAGUUAACAAGUCAACAUCAAUUUCUUUUGCUGUAAAAAAGCUUGAGGAGGGUGGCUUGAGAUUCGUCUUAAGUGUUUAUAGCCUCUUGCCUAUGCAGUCGGAGAGAUUGAGGUCUGCAGCGUAGAUCCUUCGGGGCUAAAUGCAUUUGUGCUAAGUUAUAAGCAUUUUAUAGACAACUUGUUGACUAUGAUUUGUCUUGUAGCUUACUCGCCUAUGUUAUUUUACCUACGCUUAGGAUGUUGAACGCGCACAGAGUCUC